This 340-nucleotide ribosomal RNA is filed under the name uncultured Pseudomonadota bacterium. RNAcentral describes it as "bacterial SSU rRNA". It matches the Rfam family "Bacterial small subunit ribosomal RNA", at positions 29 to 351 of the family's 1533-position model. Lineage: Bacteria; Pseudomonadati; Pseudomonadota. The record is from RNAcentral.
AAUGAACGCUGGCGGCGUGCUUAACACAUGCAAGUUGGACGAGAAAGGCUGAUUUCGGUUGGCCGAGUAAAGUGGCGCACGGGUGAGUAACGCGUAGGCAACCUACCCUUGUAUUGGGGAUAACCCCGCGAAAGCGGGGCUAAUACCGGAUAAGACCCAAGUUCGGUGGGAUUUGGGUGAAAGUCGGCCACUCGGAGAAGCUGACGUACGAGGAUGGGCCUGCGUCCUAUCAGCUAGUUGGUGGGGUAGCGGCCUACCAAGGCAACGACGGGUAGCUGGUCUGAGAGGAUGAUCAGCCACACUGGCACUGGAACACGGGCCAGACUCCUACGGGUGGCAG